UGUUUGAUAAAAUAAUUGGUUAAAAACUUAUCCAUGGAUGCAUAGGGGUUGGCUGAGCCACACUCGAGCCCAUGUGCAGCCUGUAAGGAUCUGGUACCCACUAAAGAAUUAGUGUAAUUCUUUGAAUUGAAGGUAGAGACUAUCAAUUCAAAGAAAAUAGUAAAAAAAAUUUUUAGACUAAAAUUCAUAUCUUUAGGCUUAAUCAAUUCAUAUACUAAUUAGAUUUUAAUUUUUCUCUUUACAAUUAUGGCCA
Molecule: long non-coding RNA, 253 nt
Filed under: Elaeis guineensis (African oil palm)
Lineage: Eukaryota; Viridiplantae; Streptophyta; Magnoliopsida; Arecales; Arecaceae
Description: long non-coding RNA (EGUI_LNC058679)
Source: RNAcentral